CCACUGCUGAGGAGUCUCGCAAUAGGACGAAACGAUCUUCCAGUGC
Molecule: non-coding RNA, 46 nt
Filed under: Schistosoma margrebowiei
Lineage: Eukaryota; Metazoa; Platyhelminthes; Trematoda; Strigeidida; Schistosomatidae
Source: RNAcentral